AACGAACGCUGGCGGCAUGCCUAACACAUGCAAGUCGAACGAGACCUUCGGGUCUAGUGGCGCACGGGUGCGUAACGCGUGGGAACCUGCCCUUAGGUUCGGAAUAACUCCCCGAAAGGGGUGCUAAUACCGGAUAAUGUCUUCGGACCAAAGAUUUAUCGCCUUUGGAUGGGCCCGCGUUGGAUUAGCUAGUUGGUAGGGUAAAAGCCUACCAAGGCGACGAUCCAUAGCUGGUCUGAGAGGAUGAUCAGCCACACUGGGACUGAGACACGGCCCAGACUCCUACGGGAGGCAGCAGUGGGGAAUAUUGGACAAUGGGCGAAAGCCUGAUCCAGCAAUGCCGCGUGAGUGAAGAAGGUUUUCGGAUCGUAAAGCUCUGUUGUAAGAGAAGAACGAGUGUGAGAGUGGAAAGUUCACACUGUGACGGUAUCUUACCAGAAAGGGACGGCUAACUACGUG
Molecule: ribosomal RNA, 459 nt
Filed under: uncultured bacterium
Lineage: Bacteria
Description: partial 16S ribosomal RNA
Rfam family: Bacterial small subunit ribosomal RNA
Source: RNAcentral